This 586-nucleotide ribosomal RNA is filed under the name uncultured bacterium. RNAcentral's name for it is "bacterial SSU rRNA". It matches the Rfam family "Bacterial small subunit ribosomal RNA", at positions 338 to 916 of the family's 1533-position model. The record is from RNAcentral.
CCUACGGGAGGCAGCAGUGGGGAAUUUUGGACAAUGGGCGCAAGCCUGAUCCAGCAAUGCCGCGUGAGUGAAGAAGGCCUUCGGGUUGUAAAGCUCUUUUGUCAGGGAAGAAACGGUGGGGGCUAAUAUCUCCUACUAAUGACGGUACCUGAAGAAUAAGCACCGGCUAACUACGUGCCAGCAGCCGCGGUAAUACGUAGGGUGCAAGCGUUAAUCGGAAUUACUGGGCGUAAAGCGUGCGCAGGCGGUUUUGUAAGUCUGUCGUGAAAGCCCCGGGCUCAACCUGGGAAUUGCGAUGGAGACUGCAAGGCUUGAAUCUGGCAGAGGGGGGUAGAAUUCCACGUGUAGCAGUGAAAUGCGUAGAGAUGUGGAGGAACACCGAUGGCGAAGGCAGCCCCCUGGGUCAAGAUUGACGCUCAUGCACGAAAGCGUGGGGAGCAAACAGGAUUAGAUACCCUGGUAGUCCACGCCCUAAACGAUGUCUACUAGUUGUCGGGUUUUAAUUAACUUGGUAACGCAGCUAACGCGUGAAGUAGACCGCCUGGGGAGUACGGUCGCAAGAUUAAAACUCAAAAGGAAUUGACGG